Molecule: ribosomal RNA, 253 nt
Filed under: uncultured bacterium
Lineage: Bacteria
Description: partial 16S ribosomal RNA
Rfam family: Bacterial small subunit ribosomal RNA
Source: RNAcentral
UACGGAGGAUCCAAGCGUUAUCCGGAUUUAUUGGGUUUAAAGGGUGCGUAGGCGGAUUUGUAAGUCAGUGGUGAAAUCCUACAGCUUAACUGUAGAACUGCCAUAGAUACUGCAAGUCUUGAGUACAGUUGGCGUGGAUGGAACGUGUCAUGUAGCGGUGAAAUGCUUAGAUAUGACACAGAACACCGAUCGCGAAGGCAGUUCACGAAACUGUAACUGACGCUGAGGCACGAAAGCGUGGGGAUCAAACAGG